This 324-nucleotide ribosomal RNA is filed under the name uncultured bacterium. Its description in RNAcentral is "bacterial SSU rRNA". It matches the Rfam family "Bacterial small subunit ribosomal RNA", at positions 28 to 333 of the family's 1533-position model. The record is from RNAcentral.
GAUGAACGCUGGCGGCGUGCUUAACACAUGCAAGUCGAACGGGGAAUACUUUAACAGAGACUUCGGUUGAAGUUGCUGUAUUCCUAGUGGCGGACGGGUGAGUAACGCGUGGGUAACCUGCCUCACACUGGGGGAUAACAGUCAGAAAUGACUGCUAAUACCGCAUAAGCGCACAGCAUCGCAUGAUGCAGUGUGAAAAACUCCGGUGGUGUGAGAUGGACCCGCGUUGGAUUAGCUAGUUGGCAGGGCAGCGGCCUACCAAGGCGACGAUCCAUAGCCGGCCUGAGAGGGUGAACGGCCACAUUGGGACUGAGACACGGCCAG